AAAAGUAGUAACUACGCCUGCAACUAAAAUGAGAAAACGGGGGCAGAGUGAGUGGAAUCAACCCACAGACGUUCUCGGAUGCUUAGUUGUUGGAACUGCUUUUCCGUCUGAAAAUUUCAAAUCUCUUCACCGAUAAACAGUCAGUUGACCCUUUUAUUCGGUCUAUGGAUGAAAGUACACGAGGGGCAUUCCUUCGUGCUUAAUCAACCUGCUCCAUCUCUACUGUUCUUUUACAGCCUAUGUACUUGUUUUUCACUCUAUCCGUUUUUCUGAUUCUAAGAAUAAUUCUUCCCAACAGCCCACCAGCUUAGCUGUUGAUAAAUUGUUU
Molecule: unclassified non-coding RNA, 328 nt
Filed under: Hevea brasiliensis (rubber tree)
Lineage: Eukaryota; Viridiplantae; Streptophyta; Magnoliopsida; Malpighiales; Euphorbiaceae
Source: RNAcentral